GCGGCGUGCCUAAUACAUGCAAGUCGAACGAGUUCUGAUUAUUGAAAGGUGCUUGCAUCUUGAUUUAAUUUUGAACGAGUGGCGGACGGGUGAGUAACACGUGGGUAACCUGCCCUUAAGUGGGGGAUAACAUUUGGAAACAGAUGCUAAUACCGCAUAAAUCCAAGAACCGCAUGGUUCUUGGCUGAAAGAUGGCGUAAGCUAUCGCUUUUGGAUGGACCCGCGGCGUAUUAGCUAGUUGGUGAGGUAACGGCUCACCAAGGCAAUGAUACGUAGCCGAACUGAGAGGUUGAUCGGCCACAUUGGGACUGAGACACGGCCCAAACUCCUACGGGAGGCAGCAGUAGGGAAUCUUCCACAAUGGACGCAAGUCUGAUGGAGCAACGCCGCGUGAGUGAAGAAGGCUUUCGGGUCGUAAAACUCUGUUGUUGGAGAAGAAUGGUCGGCAGAGUAACUGUUGUCGGCGUGACGGUAUCCAACCAGAAAGCCACGGCUAACUACGUGCCAGCAGCCGCGGUAAUACGUAGGUGGCAAGCGUUAUCCGGAUUUAUUGGGCGUAAAGCGAGCGCAGGCGGUUUUUUAAGUCUGAUGUGAAAGCCCUCGGCUUAACCGAGGAAGUGCAUCGGAAACUGGGAAACUUGAGUGCAGAAGAGGACAGUGGAACUCCAUGUGUAGCGGUGAAAUGCGUAGAUAUAUGGAAGAACACCAGUGGCGAAGGCGGCUGUCUGGUCUGUAACUGACGCUGAGGCUCGAAAGCAUGGGUAGCGAACAGGAUUAGAUACCCUGGUAGUCCAUGCCGUAAACGAUGAAUGCUAGGUGUUGGAGGGUUUCCGCCCUUCAGUGCCGCAGCUAACGCAUUAAGCAUUCCGCCUGGGGAGUACGACCGCAAGGUUGAAACUCAAAGGAAUUGACGGGGGCCCGCACAAGCGGUGGAGCAUGUGGUUUAAUUCGAAGCAACGCGAAGAACCUUACCAGGUCUUGACAUCUUUUGAUCACCUGAGAGAUCAGGUUUCCCCUUCGGGGGCAAAAUGACAGGUGGUGCAUGGUUGUCGUCAGCUCGUGUCGUGAGAUGUUGGGUUAAGUCCCGCAACGAGCGCAACCCUUAUGACUAGUUGCCAGCAUUUAGUUGGGCACUCUAGUAAGACUGCCGGUGACAAACCGGAGGAAGGUGGGGAUGACGUCAAAUCAUCAUGCCCCUUAUGACCUGGGCUACACACGUGCUACAAUGGAUGGUACAACGAGUUGCGAGACCGCGAGGUCAAGCUAAUCUCUUAAAGCCAUUCUCAGUUCGGACUGUAGGCUGCAACUCGCCUACACGAAGUCGGAAUCGCUAGUAAUCGCGGAUCAGCACGCCGCGGUGAAUACGUUCCCGGGCCUUGUACACACCGCCCGUCACACCAUGAGAGUUUGUAACACCCGAAGCCGGUGGCGUAACCCUUUUAGGGAGCGAGCCGUCUAAGGUGGGACAAAUGAUUAGGGUGAAGUCAUAACAA
RNAcentral lists this ribosomal RNA (1493 nucleotides) under uncultured organism. RNAcentral describes it as "SSU rRNA". It matches the Rfam family "Bacterial small subunit ribosomal RNA". The record is from RNAcentral.